Molecule: ribosomal RNA, 497 nt
Filed under: uncultured bacterium
Lineage: Bacteria
Description: partial 16S ribosomal RNA
Rfam family: Bacterial small subunit ribosomal RNA
Source: RNAcentral
GAUGAACGCUGGCGGCGUGCCUAAUACAUGCAAGUCGAGCGAACGGACGAGAAGCUUGCUUCUCUGAUGUUAGCGGCGGACGGGUGAGUAACACGUGGAUAACCUACCUAUAAGACUGGGAUAACUUCGGGAAACCGGAGCUAAUACCGGAUAAUAUUUUGAACCGCAUGGUUCAAAAGUGAAAGACGGUCUUGCUGUCACUUAUAGAUGGAUCCGCGCUGCAUUAGCUAGUUGGUAAGGUAACGGCUUACCAAGGCAACGAUGCAUAGCCGACCUGAGAGGUGGCCGGCCCACAGGGGAACUGAGACACGGCCCAGACUCCUACGGGGGGCGGCAGUAGGAAAUCUUCCGCAAGGGGCGAAAGCCUGACGGACCAGCGCCGCGGGAGUGAUGAAGUUCUUCGGAUCGUAAAAUUCUUUUAUUGGGAAAAAACAUUUUUGUAAGAAACUGUGCACAUCUUGCGGGUCCCUAAUAAAAAACCCACGGCUAACUCCGUG